UGGGGAAUAUUGCACAAUGGGCGCAAGCCUGAUGCAGCCAUGCCGCGUGUGUGAAGAAGGCCUUCGGGUUGUAAAGCACUUUCAGCGAGGAGGAAGGUGGUGAGCUUAAUACGCUCAUCAAUUGACGUUACUCGCAGAAGAAGCACCGGCUAACUCCGUGCCAGCAGCCGCGGUAAUACGGAGGGUGCAAGCGUUAAUCGGAAUUACUGGGCGUAAAGCGCACGCAGGCGGUUUGUUAAGUCAGAUGUGAAAUCCCCGGGCUCAACCUGGAACUGCAUUUGAAACUGGCAAGCUAGAGUCUCGUAGAGGGGGUAGAAUUCCAGGUGUAGCGGUGAAAUGCGUAGAGAUCUGGAGGAAUACCGGUGGCGAAGGCGGCCCCCUGGACGAAGACUGACGCUCAGGUGCGAAAGCGUGGGGCAGCAAACAGGAUUAGAUACCCUGGUAGUCACGCUGUAAACGAUGUCGAUUUUGGAGGUUGUGCCCUUGAGGCGUGGCUUCCGGAGCUAACGCGUUAAAUCGACCGCC
This 525-nucleotide ribosomal RNA is filed under the name uncultured bacterium. RNAcentral's name for it is "partial 16S ribosomal RNA". It matches the Rfam family "Bacterial small subunit ribosomal RNA", at positions 355 to 873 of the family's 1533-position model. The record is from RNAcentral.